GGGGGGGGAUUUUGUAUUAUGCUAAUUAGACAUAGAGGGGGUUAACCUUUAUAAAGGAACUGUUCACUUAGUUGUGUCAUACCUCAUAAACCAUAAACAAAACAGAGUGAAACGCAGUACACAACUUUAUUAGUAUUUGUUAGUGAAAACCGAUAUAACAAGCGAGAAAAAUAUACAUUUGACAAAAAAAUCUACAGUCUCAAAACGCACAAAGAAUACACAAAUGCAAAAGAGAUUUCAUGCAAAAAUUGUAGGCACUUUUACUUGGUGGCGCAAUGGUUGGUGACGCUAUGUUCAAUACAAAUCAAAUCCAAUUGUAUUUGUCACAUGCGCCGAAUACAACAGGUGUAGUAGACCUUACAGUGAAAUGCUGAAUACAACAGGUGUAGGUAGACCUUACAGUGAAAUGCUGAAUACAACAGGUGUAGUAGACCUUACAGUGAAAUGCUGAAUACAACAGGUGUAGGUAGACCUUACAGUGAAAUGCUGAAUACAACAGGUGUAGGUAGACCUUACAGUGAAAUGCUGAAUACAACAGGUGUAGGUAGACCUUACAGUGAAAUGCUGAAUACAACAGGUGUAGGUAGACCUUACAGUGAAAUGCUGAAUACAACAGGUGUAGGUAGACCUUACAGUGAAAUGCUGAAUACAACAGGUGUAGGUAGACCUUACAGUGAAAUGCUGAAUACAACAG
Long non-coding RNA from Oncorhynchus tshawytscha (Chinook salmon), 694 nucleotides. NCBI's taxonomy places the organism in Eukaryota, Metazoa, Chordata, Actinopteri, Salmoniformes, Salmonidae. The record is from Ensembl.